Long non-coding RNA from Carassius gibelio (silver crucian carp), 905 nucleotides. RefSeq lists it as uncharacterized. NCBI's taxonomy places the organism in Eukaryota, Metazoa, Chordata, Actinopteri, Cypriniformes, Cyprinidae. The transcript has 2 exons. The record is from RefSeq and is a predicted model, not a curated record.
UCUCUAAAGCUUGCUAGCUGUGUAUAUAUUUAUAUAAUUGAUCUAUCUAUCUAUCUAUCUAUCUAUCUAUAUAUAUAUACAUGAAGCGUCAUGAAACAGAUUUUCAUGAUAGUAUUUGGGAAGUACUUCACUCACACAAAUUGCAUUCAUCAGUUUAAGAAUGCUGAGUGUAUUGAAAAGAAUCAUCAGGGCAUCUACUUUACACGUUAUCUUGUUUUUACAGAGUUGUUACAGAUAAAUGGUUUUCACAACCCAAGUACUGAUUGUCGUUGUAUGAAUUUACUUUAAAAGGAGAUGCUGACUAAUGCGUUAAGUUUUCUGUGCAUCUAUUUUUUCUUCAGGCACAAUGAAUGAUAUUAAGGGCAGAUGCGCCACAUUGGGGGAAGAUGCAAAGCAGAAAUACAUUCAAGAGGCAGCAGCACUGAGGGCACAUGGGCAGGCACAGGACACUAAACCCUGAGAUGGAGGCAAUUUGUGCUGUGUCUGCUGCGUCCAUUUUUAUGAUAAGAAGAAGAAUGCAAGAAAGAAGUGGCAUUCAUGGUCUCAGUGCACAGUGUGCCAAUCAUGGUCACACACAGCAUGUGGCUUUAAAAAGAACAUGUGCGUUCACUGCCAGGGUCAAGACACCAUGCUAACACCCUGAAGAUGUAUCUUGUUACUUGUUUGAGUUGUUUUUACUGUGUUGACGGCCCCCAACCCAUCCAUACAAACACACACACACAAUACAUACAUAUGCUGCAAAUUUAUUGUAAUGACCACACUUCACACGAAAGAAGAAAAUUGUGAUCUUUUUGUUAUUUUCAUUCACCCCAUUUUUAUUUAUUAUUGUUGUUUGUUGGCACCAUCAAUGUGUUCUCCUUUAUACAGGACUUAUGUGGGGACCAAUAAAGUUAUAUUGUACUGAA